RNAcentral lists this ribosomal RNA (253 nucleotides) under uncultured bacterium. RNAcentral describes it as "partial 16S ribosomal RNA". It matches the Rfam family "Bacterial small subunit ribosomal RNA", at positions 524 to 776 of the family's 1533-position model. The record is from RNAcentral.
UACAGAGGUCCCAAGCGUUGUUCGGAUUCACUGGGCGUAAAGGGUGCGUAGGCGGUCGCGCAAGUCGGAUGUGAAAUCUUGGGGCUCAACCCCGAAACUGCAUUCGAUACUGCGUGGCUUGAGUACUGGAGAGGAGACUGGAAUUUACGGUGUAGCAGUGAAAUGCGUAGAUAUCGUAAGGAAGACCAGUGGCGAAGGCGAGUCUCUGGACAGUUACUGACGCUGAGGCACGAAGGCCAGGGGAGCAAACGGG